This is a long non-coding RNA of Mus musculus (house mouse), 5960 nucleotides long. RefSeq annotates it as predicted gene 16263. Lineage: Eukaryota; Metazoa; Chordata; Mammalia; Rodentia; Muridae. The record is from RefSeq and is a predicted model, not a curated record. The transcript is spliced from 5 exons.
AUUUUUUAAAUGAAUAAGUAGUCACAUAUAAGUUUUAAGGCUGUUUCAUGUAGAAAAAUCUGAAGAAGAAAUGCACAUGAAGAGGAUUGUGAAGAUGGCCAUUGUCCUUCCAUGAAUUCCAUAAGCCCUUUGACUUUCAGGACUUUUGUAGAAACUGAAACAGCACAGAGUACGCAAUGCUUCUCCUUUGCACUAUCAUCUGACUGUCUCAGCAAGGAUGCAGUUGAUAAGACUGGGCUGCCUGCUGUCCUCUGGUCCUUAAUUUACAGGUUAAAGAAAAGGUGGUUCCAGGAAGGGUGAAUGGAAUUUCAUAGGUUGUAGGACAGUGGCAGUCUCCUUUGUGUAUUCCAGAUAAGCAAACCUAAAAGGUUUCAGCCCUUCAAGACAUCAAGGACAGAAUCCCUUCCAGGAUAGUAGACGCCCUUUCCUGGCUCUGAAGCAGGGGGGUGGGGGGUGGGAGGGAGACACACCUCUUAGUUCAGUGUCUUGAACAUGAGGCGACUGAAUAUGUCUUUCUCAGCACGUACUGUGUCAGGGGCCUUUAGAAAAUGGUGGUGUUGUUUUUGUUUUUGUUUUUUUUUGUUUUUUGUUUUUUUUUGGCUUUUCUAGACAGGGUUUUUCUGUGUAACCCUGGCUGUCCUAGAACUCACUUUGUAGACCAGACUGGCCUUGAACUCUGAAAAUUUGCCUGCCUCUGUCUCCCAAGUGCUGGGAUUAAAGGCGUGUGCCACCACUGCGACUGAGGGUGUACUAAACUACCUCUAUAUCCAGGAGAUCUUGGAGAGGCCCUUGAAUCCCAAGGAAGGCUAGCAAUUCGCAACAGUGGCACCUUACAACCCAUUUCUGCUAAAGAAUCCUUACAAUGUCUCCUUAGUGCCUCCAGUCCCAGGUACAAGUCCUUGUUCUACCUCCCACUGCAGUUAGUAGAGGCUAGGGUAGCCUGAUUGUAACGUUUUUUAAACUCUUAGCUUCUGUGUUCCCAUGGCAGUUAGUAGAGGUUGGGAUACUCUGAUAGCAAAUUUCUAUUGCUAGAGGGAAAACAGCCUUGGUCCCUUUAGCUAAUCUAUGAGAAAGCAGCAGUCUGCCUUUCACCACUGAAAUUAUGCUCAUUUGUAAACAGAUUGAUGCAGAAUUUGUCUAGCUGCUAUUUUUUUACUACUUCAACUAUAUUUUGUAUAGCUAAAAAUACAUGAGGACUAUUUUAUUUCUAUUUUUCAUAUUAAAAGCUUAUUGUUGGAAUUUUCCUUACUUAUUACAGUAAUUUCCCUUAUUUAUGCACACCCAGACACCUCCACCUCAACCCCCACUCAUACAAUUUUUCAGUGAUCUCUAGCUAGACAUCUAGUCCUACAACACAAGGCAAAUAGAAACCAGCCAACAGAUCCCUAUGGUAGAAAAACUAUAAGGGCUGAAGGUACAGUUCAAAGAUAGACUACUUUACUUAUCUAGCAUGGGUAAGACCCUGAUUCAAUGUACAGCACCGCCAAAAAAUAUUUUUAAAGAAAAACUGCUCAAGACUUAGAUAGCUUUUACACAAGUAAGUAUUAAUAUAUGCCACAUAUAACCAACUGGGAAUGACAUGGCCUUCUGAUAAUUCUAAGUCCAACUGUUGUGACACACACGUGCAACAAGGCCAUACCUCCUAAUCUUUCCCAACAUUUCCACUGACUGAGGAGUAGCUAUUCAAAUACGUAGGAGCCCAUGCAGAUUCUUUUUUCUGUUUUGUUGUUGUUUGUUUUUAGUCAGAGCCUCAUGCACUCUGCUGCUCUUGAACUAAAUCUGCAGUCACUAAUGUCCUUUAACUUCUCAUUGUUCUACCUCUAUCUCCAUCCGAUGGGAUUACAUCUGAUCUCUUACUUCAUACAUUUCUCCACUUUUUAUAAAAUUAUCUAGUAAUUAAUUUUAGCAGCACUACAUUGCACAAUCGCGGGGCCCACAAUCCCCAUGUUAGUUGGUGUGAAAAAGCAUCUCCUGGAAUUUUUCAGUCCAGAAGUGUUCAUAGCAGACACGAUUGGCUGUCUAUCUCAGACCCAUUACUAGCUUUUUCCUCUGUGGUAGCGCCACUGACUUAUUUGGAAAGCCCACUCUCCUUCUCACGCCAUUAAACUCACUAAGCCAAACAUAACACAACAUUGUCUUUACUGGUGAUUGGUUUUCGGGUGGACAUAUGACACAGGUCUGGCAUAAGGGAAGGUUUCUGGCAACCUCACUGAUACAUAAAAAGACAUGGCUGUUUUCUCAUGCCAGCCAUUGUCAUAUGCAGAUGUGGUCCCUGGAUCUGGAGAGAGUUUGUGGCUAUAAAGGGAGAAGCCUGAGGGCAAGCUACAGUUAGUGGCCAUGUGGCAUGGCAAAUCUGUGAUGAAAUACCACAGUUUUCUGGUCUAAAACCCACAAUGACAGAAUGACACCACAGAACACUAUAAAGGAAGGGGGGAUAUGAUGCAAGAAGACAACCAGAGAGUGAGCUAUCUCCUGUCUGCCUUACAUGCUAGACAAUUAUCUGCCUAAGCUCUGAGGCAUGUUUUUGUGAGAAAGACCUCAGCUAUAGAGGAGAGGACUGAGCUGAGAUUGUAGCUAAUGCACAGCUGAUGGUAUGAGUUCAGUCAAAGUAAAGAGCUAUAAGACUGCAAGAUAAUAUAUAACAUGCCACUUGCAACGAGGUAAGAGACAAAAUUUAUAGACAUAUCUAAGUGUAAUUACUCCUAAAUUUGUGUAAACAACAGUCCUACAUUUCUUAAAGAAAUCCAACUUGCUUUAGAAAAUUUUACCAAGCUGUUGUCCCCACUGGUAUCACUGAUGAAUUCUAACAUUGAAGAAGAAACAACCCCAGUGCUAGAUAUUGAAAAGUGAAGAAGAUGAAGCCGUUCACAAUUUAUGUUAUAAAGUGGAGAGAAUUGCUGUAUGUAGCCAAAAUGGUAUGCUAAAGAAUCACAUGAAGUCUAUUAAAUCUGACUAAGCACAUUUUACCCCAGAAAUACCUUUGCAUUUUCUUUCUUCUCUUCCUCCCUUUAUCUCUUCAUUCUUCCUUUCUUCUCCCAACCCUCACAUGUUUUCUUACCUCCUUUUUAGUCUGCAAACCAAACUCAGGGCCUUCUGUAUGUGGAGCAUUUGUUGUACCGCUGCCUGAGGACGAGGAAGGGGAAGUUACUGGGCUGGCUUCGAGAGGAACAGUAGACAAGGAGAACUCGAAGUGUAAAAGACAAUCUGACUUACAUUAUCACCCACCCAAGUGAGAAAUGCAGGCAUCAGUGUAACCAAGUGCACCCAUGCUCUACGUGGUGAAAGAUAUGUAUGUAUGCCUGAUGCCUGUGGAGUUCCAAAGAACGAUGACAGCACCAGAUGUUCCAUCCUGCUCACUACCUCCCAGUUGCAGUUCUGAUCCGUUGUUUCUCCCUGUGCUUUCCCACAGUAGCGUUAUUUUGGCUAUGGCUCUCGGGCUUCUUUGAUUUGAUAGCACAUUUGGACCAAUUUCUGCAAACGGACCCUUGGCAUCUCUCUCUGGAACACACCUUGGUAUUCAAACUCUGGCAUUGUGCCUUACAAAUGCAGACAAGAAAUACUUCCACCUUUCAAUCUACAUCGUGAUUAGUGAUCGGAAACAGCAAUGAAGACUAAAAGUUGCAACAUGGCAACCCCUGAAUCAAAUGAAGCUGGCUUGUCUGAUCCACAUCACACUGGUUCAGCUAUGGCUUUGUUUUCAGUAAAUUUGACUAGACUGCUUUAAGGUAGGUAUCUACUUGUGAGUUCACCAUGAGUCUCCCUUGUUUCUGUUCCUACUCAGUUGAUGUUUUACAAAUUAGCAUCUUCCUAUCAGUCUGUGAUACUUCUUGAGAUAAUAGUCUCUGAAUUCUAGACUAUAAAAUGCUACAAUCAAUGUAUGCAUUAUGACCCUAGGUGGAGGGAAUAAGGGUAAAGACAUGAAAGUUGGAGAUUACAUUUGGUAUCUCAGGCAUAGUACACCCCAGUCUGGAAAGUAUUUAGGAAAACAUUCAUUGUAAGGACUUCAGAAGAACAUGAAACAAUUUCAUUGUUUAUCUGUUUUUGUUUUUGUUUUAUAAUGAUGGCUUAACUCUGUUCAAUUGUAUAUGCUGAAAAAAUUCUUGCCAAUAUUAAUGUGCUGUAUUAGUUUAAAAUAUCUUAGCUUUUUAUUUAAUGUAUCAUAAAGUUCUGCAAUCCUGUUCCCACUUCAAAUAUAUCUAUGCUCACAAUUUUUCAGAUUUAAGAAGAAAGAAUAGUUUUGGCUUUAUAGUUAUAGCAUUUUAUUUAAACACUCUAGUAACAAUGUCCAGAGAACUUAGGUAAUUGUUUGAUUUGAGCCAUGAUGCCAUUUAUAUUUUAUUGCUCAAGAUUUUUUAAAAUAACUUUUACCUUUGAGCAUCACUUGUUGUUGAGAUAGAAGAACUAUAAAAGAGGCAAAAUUUGUCUCCAAUUUCAGUUCCACAACUUCAAAGGAAGUACUACCGGGUAUGGGUAUGAAAAUGAAGCCUGCAUGCGUAUCUCUGCUGCACUGAACAAUUGGCUCAGAUUGUUUUCUGUGCUGAAGUUGAUCCAAGCAAUAACAUUUGUUGUGGUUUCACACUGAAUGACUCUACCUCAGACUCUAUCUCCUAUCUCUUUAGCCAUCCAUUUCCAUCCAACUAUCAUCUCCCUUGCAGGGGGCAAUCUAUGAUUCAGAAUAGCAUUAUCUUACAAGUAAGUAUAUCAAGUGAACUUAAUUAAAAUGUGAGGGAUUAAAUGCAAGUUAAUCUUAUUCAAGGCAAAAACUUUUCAGUUUUUGUUUUGUUUAUUAUCCUUUGAGAAUUUAAUACAUGUAUACAACGUAUUUUGAUCACAUAUACUCCCCCCUGCCCACUCCCCAAAUUAAAUAAGUACAACAAAGGUCAUGGUUUUAUGAUGAAGUAGGAAGUAAAGACUGCUCCAAAACAAGACUGUGUCUGUUACUAGUUUAUUCCCAAUCCACUAUGUAAAUUAAGUCUAACAGAGUUGUGUUUAAAUAAAAUUACUUUUGUUAAUUCUAUUGUCUAAGCAAAAAAUACACUUUUCAGGCAUAGACAAUUAUAAGCUUUUCUGCUUAGAGUUUAAUGGGGCUCAGGAACAUUGAUAAAAUGUUGCAUUAUAAUGCAACAAAUAUAAAAUCUGGGAUAAUGAAAAAUCUCAAGGUUGCUUCAUUUUAGUGUUUGUUGCCAUUUAAGAGUAAAUUUAACGGAACGACCUUUUAAUUCUCAAAGAGCCCUGAAUUCCCUGCAGCUGGAGUUACAGGCAGUUGUGAGUCAUCUGCCUUGCUUGCUGGGAAAGAAACUUGGGUCCCCUGCAAGAGCAGCAUGCCCUCUUAGCCCCUGAUCCAUGGCACUAGUCUCUAGAUACACCAAACGUUGUUUGCAGAAGAUUUAUGUAUCCAAAGUAGCUGUGAGACAGAUUGAUACAUGUUUGUAACAAUGUUUGUAGCAUGGAUACAAGCUUGUAACUUGGUAUCACCUUCUAUCUCUAUAGCAACACUUUAUUUUGAUGAGCAGAUUGGUUAUUCUUAGAGGCUCGUCCUUGGUUGUGAUGGUACUUGAAGUGUUUAUCAACUUUUAGAAACAUUUUGAUGCUAACUUCAAAUAAUCUAUGUUAUACUGUGUUACAAUCUAUGGUAUCUGCUUCAUAUGGCCCAUUUAGUGCAGGGAGAUGGGCCAAAUAGAAUAGUCUUCAUUUGGAACAGAUUUUCAUUGUCCUGGAAUUUGAUGAGCUAGGCAUCUGAGCUCAAUCAACAGCAGUCAGAACUUUACUUUGGGUUGCUAAUGGUACCAAGUAAAUGUUGUGGCUUCAAAUUCUUGGUAUCAGGCUUGUUCCUAGAUCUAAUGUUGGCAAAAGUCCUAUCUGCUGUGUUUCAUUCCAAAGGGAAAGCACAUGGGAAUUCUUCAAGUUUGUUUUCUGCUGUUGUUCAAUAAUCCAUAUAGAAUGAGUCAUUGAAAUUCUGA